RNAcentral lists this unclassified non-coding RNA (461 nucleotides) under Hevea brasiliensis (rubber tree). Lineage: Eukaryota; Viridiplantae; Streptophyta; Magnoliopsida; Malpighiales; Euphorbiaceae. The record is from RNAcentral.
AUCUAAAAGAUAGAGAGUAAAUUUAGAGCGAACAAUAAAGUUACUCCAUGGAAAUCUGGGACUCGAGCCCUGAAAACAUCCCUUUGCAGAAUAGAUAGAGUAAUACAUAGAGGCAAAGCCGCGUCCAUCAACUCCCCCCCAAAUCCACAAGUGUGGAAUAUUUAUUUCGCAUAUUGAGUGACUUUUUUAAAGGUAUGACAGAACCAAAUAAAGAAAUAGAAAUUACUUGCUUAUCAUUUUAAAGUGGAAACAUUACAAAGCUGAUUACACAUACCCAACAUGACCCGAACAAUAUAUAUAGCUUCUUUGAUCCUUGUACCCUUCUGGCAUAUACACACCAAAAACAAGUUCAUACACAAGGAAAUCUAAAAUAAUCACGUUACUUACAGAGCAAAGCAAGAUGAACGUUAUAUCUCAAACAUGUUCACGUAAUGUUUCCUCAUUAUACCAACUCCACAACA